This 89-nucleotide ribosomal RNA is filed under the name Paenarthrobacter aurescens. The record is from RNAcentral. Lineage: Bacteria; Bacillati; Actinomycetota; Actinomycetes; Micrococcales; Micrococcaceae.
UACGGCGGUCAUAGCGUGGGGGAAACGCCCGGUCCCAUUCCGAACCCGGAAGCUAAGACCCACAGCGCCGAUGGUACUGCACCCGGGAG